RNAcentral lists this ribosomal RNA (253 nucleotides) under uncultured bacterium. RNAcentral's name for it is "partial 16S ribosomal RNA". It matches the Rfam family "Bacterial small subunit ribosomal RNA", at positions 524 to 776 of the family's 1533-position model. The record is from RNAcentral.
UACGAAGGGUGCAAACGUUGCUCGGAAUUAUUGGGCGUAAAGCGCACGUAGGCGGCUUUGCAAGUCGGAUGUGAAAUCCCUCGGCUUAACCAAGGAAGUGCAUCCGAAACUGCAGAGCUUGAGUACUUAAGAGGAUCGCGGAAUUCCCGGUGUAGAGGUGAAAUUCGUAGAUAUCGGGAGGAACACCGGUGGCGAAGGCGGCUUCCUGGACCGACACUGACGCUGAGGCGCGAAAGCUAGGGGAGCAAACGGG